This 254-nucleotide unclassified non-coding RNA is filed under the name plant metagenome. RNAcentral's name for it is "partial contains small subunit ribosomal RNA, internal transcribed spacer 1, and 5.8S ribosomal RNA". The stretch from base 1 to 53 matches the Rfam family "Eukaryotic small subunit ribosomal RNA", at positions 1778 to 1831 of the family's 1831-position model. The record is from RNAcentral.
GGAAGUAAAAGUCUAACAAGGUUUCCGUAGGUGAACCUGCGGAAGGAUCAUUAUUGGAUUUUGAAACUUCAGGCUGCUGCUGGCUCUCCUCGGAGGGCAUGUGCACGCUUGUUGUCCAUUAUUUCUCCCACUGUGCACAAAUUGUAGACCUUUCAGUAGGCCUAUGUUGUUUUUCACAAUCUCUGAAUGUAAUAGAAUGGUUUUGAAUCUUGGGAAAUACAAUACAACUUUCAGCAACGGAUCUCUUGGCUCUC